AUACGGAGGAUCCGAGCGUUAUCCGGAUUUAUUGGGUUUAAAGGGAGCGUAGGUGGACAGUUAAGUCAGUUGUGAAAGUUUGCGGCUCGACCGUAAAUUUGCAGUUGAUACUGGCUGUCUUGAGUACAGUAGAGGUGGGCGGCAUUCGUGGUGUAGGGGUGUAAUGCUUAGAUAUCACGAAGAACUCCGAUUGCGAAGGCAGCUCACUGGACUGCAACUGACACUGAUGCUCGAAAGUGUGGGUAUCAAACAGGAUUAGAUACCCUGGUAGUCCACACAGUAAACGAUGAAUACUCGAUGUUUGCGAUAUACAGUAAGCGGCCAAGCGAAAGCAUUAAGUAUUCCACCUGGGGAGUACGCCGGCAACGGUGAAACUCAAAUGAAUUGACGGGG
Molecule: ribosomal RNA, 393 nt
Filed under: uncultured bacterium
Lineage: Bacteria
Description: partial 16S ribosomal RNA
Rfam family: Bacterial small subunit ribosomal RNA
Source: RNAcentral